This 124-nucleotide ribosomal RNA is filed under the name Lithodora fruticosa. RNAcentral describes it as "5.8S ribosomal RNA". It matches the Rfam family "5.8S ribosomal RNA", at positions 36 to 154 of the family's 154-position model. Rfam says of the family: 5.8S ribosomal RNA (5.8S rRNA) is a component of the large subunit of the eukaryotic ribosome. It is transcribed by RNA polymerase I as part of the 45S precursor that also contains 18S and 28S rRNA. Functionally, it is thought that 5.8S rRNA may be involved in ribosome translocation. The record is from RNAcentral. Lineage: Eukaryota; Viridiplantae; Streptophyta; Magnoliopsida; Boraginales; Boraginaceae.
AUGAAGAACGUAGCGAAAUGCGAUACUUGGUGUGAAUUGCAGAAUCCCGUGAACCAUCGAGUCUUUGAACGCAAGUUGCGCCUGAAGCCAUUAGGUUAAAGGCACGUCUGCCUGGGCGUCACGC